RNAcentral lists this ribosomal RNA (490 nucleotides) under uncultured bacterium. RNAcentral describes it as "partial 16S ribosomal RNA". It matches the Rfam family "Bacterial small subunit ribosomal RNA", at positions 30 to 507 of the family's 1533-position model. The record is from RNAcentral.
AUUGAACGCUGGCGGCAGGCCUAACACAUGCAAGUCGAACGGUAACAGGAAGAAGCUUGCUUCUUUGCUGACGAGUGGCGGACGGGUGAGUAAUGUCUGGGAAACUGCCUGAUGGAGGGGGAUAACUACUGGAAACGGUAGCUAAUACCGCAUAACGUCGCAAGACCAAAUAGGGGGACCUUCGGGCCUCUUGCCAUCGGAUGUGCCCAGAUGGGAUUAGCUAGUAGGUGGGGUAACGGCUCACCUAGGCGACGAUCCCUAGCUGGUCUGAGAGGAUGACCAGCCACACUGGAACUGAGACACGGUCCAGACUCCUACGGGAGGCAGCAGUGGGGAAUAUUGCACAAUGGGCGCAAGCCUGAUGCAGCCAUGCCGCGUGUAUGAAGAAGGCCUUCGGGUUGUAAAGUACUUUCAGCGGGGAGGAAGGGAGUAAAGUUAAUACCUUGGCUCAUUGACGUUACCCGCAGAAGAAGCACCGGCUAACUCCGUG